GUGACUUUACUAAUCAUCAAGAACCUAUUAUGAGUGUGCGAGAUUAAGCAUGCUGAGAAAUCAUGGGUGCGUCAGUCAUGAGUUGUGUGGUAUGAUACUGAUGUUCAUGGAUUUAUAGAGCAUGAUUCGGAUUUUUGAGUCAGAAUAUUACUCUAAAUACUAGGAACUGAGAAUAGACAAACAUUUGCAUGAAGUGCGUACAUUGGAAUGAUGC
RNAcentral lists this long non-coding RNA (214 nucleotides) under Capsicum annuum. RNAcentral's name for it is "long non-coding RNA (CANN_LNC004699)". The record is from RNAcentral. Lineage: Eukaryota; Viridiplantae; Streptophyta; Magnoliopsida; Solanales; Solanaceae.